UAUCGUUGGUUGGAUAAUAGUUGAGAUAUAGUGCUUGAAAUCGUGACCCAUUCGAUCGGCGAGGAAAGUGAGAAUUUCUAGUCCGUUCUGGACCACCUACAACAAGAACCAAGAAUCGUUUUAAUCUACGGCAUAUUGAUCUACCAAGGCAAUCGAGAUUCGCUGGGUAAUUUGCUGGACAUAGAAGACGCUUAUGUGCGUCUCCGUGACGAGAGAUCAAUUAACGUCGCUGCUCAAAAUAUGUACACGAAAAACCAGUUUGCCAAAUGCACAGUCAUUGGAAGGGAAUCGACCGAAAUAGCAAAAUAUACACGGUGUCCCGUGCAAAGUGUUACGAGCUAUUUUCUAAGAAACUAACGAAGAUGUCCGCGUCAUGUUUGGUACAGUUAACAAGAGAAUUGACUUUUUUCUGGUUUCUUCUCCAUUUUUUACCGAAGGAACCCAUUGACUACAAAAUAAACAUUGAACACUAGGAAUUGCUUUUUUGGACUUUUGCUUUCUUCAAUUUUUAUUGAAGAAAGUAUGCAAGAUUUUUACUUGAAAUUUUACACACGCUUUUAUUACUAAUUCAGCAUAACGUAUACAUUUUUAUGGAAACAUUUACCCAAUAAUAUAAAUGUUACAGCCCAUUGACUAUGGUUGCUUUUAAUUGAUCGUGACACAAUUAAACAUUGGUCACUGGAUAAUAUGAUUUCUACCAUCCAAAUAAACUGAAGUAAAAAAUUCAACCGGCGUUUAUUCUAUGAGGACAUCGUCGUCAUCUAACGAAAAAUAAAUUCAAAAGGAAUUUUUUUUUUAUGAAUGAUAGG
Hylaeus anthracinus is the source of this 809-nucleotide long non-coding RNA. RefSeq lists it as uncharacterized. The record is from RefSeq and is a predicted model, not a curated record. The transcript has 3 exons. NCBI's taxonomy places the organism in Eukaryota, Metazoa, Arthropoda, Insecta, Hymenoptera, Colletidae.